GACGAACGCUGGCGGCGUGCUUAACACAUGCAAGUCGAACGGAAAGGCCCUGCUUUUGUGGGGUGCUCGAGUGGCGAACGGGUGAGUAACACGUGAGUAACCUGCCAUUGACUUUGGGAUAACUUCAGGCAACUGGGGCUAAUACCGGAUAGGAGCUCCUGCUGAAUGGUGGGGGCGGGAUAGUUUCGGCGGUUGGGUAUGGAUUCGCGUCCUAUUAGCUUGUUGGUGGGGUAGUGGCUUACCAAGGCUUUGAUGGGUAGCCGGCCUGAGAGGGUGACCUGCCACAUCGGGACUGGAAUACGGCCCAGGCUCCUACGGGAGGCAGCAGUGGGGAGUAUUGCGCAAUGGACGGAAGCCUGGUGCAACGUCGCCGCGUGCAGGAUGACGGCCUUCGGGUUGUAGUCCGCUUUCGCAUGUGACGGAGCGUGAGUAACGGUAAAGGGUAAAGAAGCACCGGCUAACUACGUG
Molecule: ribosomal RNA, 468 nt
Filed under: uncultured bacterium
Lineage: Bacteria
Description: partial 16S ribosomal RNA
Rfam family: Bacterial small subunit ribosomal RNA
Source: RNAcentral